GCCUCGGUAGUGAUAUGGAUCAGCACGGCAGACCGGAUAUCUGUAAGUGCGGGUUCGAGUCCCGCCUCAGGUU
Dictyocaulus viviparus (bovine lungworm) is the source of this 73-nucleotide non-coding RNA. The record is from Rfam. NCBI's taxonomy places the organism in Eukaryota, Metazoa, Nematoda, Chromadorea, Rhabditida, Metastrongylidae.